UCGCCUGUUUAUCAAAAACAUGUCCUCUUGUUAAUGAUAUGAGGUUUGACCUGCCCACUGAGGAUAGACUUGAAGGGCCGCGGUAUUUUGACCGUGCAAAGGUAGCAUAAUCAUUAGUCUUUUAAUUGAAGGCUAGAAUGAAUGGUUGGACGAGGUAUUGACUGUCUCUGUGUAAUUGAUGUUAGAAUUUAACUUUUGAGUGAAAAGGCUUAAAUGUUUUUAGAGGACGAGAAGACCCUAUAGAGCUUUAUAUUUAAUUAUUUAUAAUUUGUUUAGUAGGUUUAUUGAUAUAUUUAAUAAAAUAUUUUGUUGGGGUGACGGGAAGAUAAAUUAAACUCUUUUUAUUUUGAAACAUUGAUUUUUGAGUUAUUGAUCCAUUUAUAGUGAUUAAAAGACUAAGUUACCUUAGGGAUAACAGCGUAAUCUUUUUCGAGAGUUCUUAUCGACAAAAAGGGUUGCGACCUCGAUGUUGGAUUAAGGGUAAUUUUGGGUGUAGAUGUUCAAAGUUUAGGUCUGUUCGACCUUUAAAUCCUUACAUGAUCUGAGUUCAAACCGGAGA
Molecule: ribosomal RNA, 559 nt
Filed under: Neuroperlopsis patris
Lineage: Eukaryota; Metazoa; Arthropoda; Insecta; Plecoptera; Eustheniidae
Description: partial 16S ribosomal RNA
Rfam family: Bacterial large subunit ribosomal RNA
Source: RNAcentral